Vidua chalybeata is the source of this 340-nucleotide long non-coding RNA. RefSeq lists it as uncharacterized. The transcript has 3 exons. The record is from RefSeq and is a predicted model, not a curated record. Lineage: Eukaryota; Metazoa; Chordata; Aves; Passeriformes; Viduidae.
CGAGGCGAGCUCCGGGAGCGGCCCUGCAGCAAAUCCAGCCAAAUUCCAGCCUGGAUGGGGCUGGCAGCAGCCGGGGCUAGGGCAGAGCAGGAGAGAGGAAGCAGCUGGUGGUGGUUGGAGAACUCUCCCUGGGGAAUGUUGCCUGGAGCAGAGGACACGCCACACCCGGGGGAAGCCGCAGCGAUUUGUGACUGUAGCCUCUAAAAAGUGAACAGAAGGCUGCUGUGUUGGGAUUCUUGCUCAAGUCCCAUCCCAUGGCCCAAUAUCCCACAGGCCCACAGGCCAGACCACAGCAGAUUUUGAUAAACCACUCUUUAUGCAAUAAAAGAACAAUAUUGAA